CCAUGAUCAUAUUGAAUGGCGAAUGGUGCAGGCUCGAAGGGCCGAAUGGCCUCUACUCCUGCACCUAUUGUCUAUGUUUAUAUGUUUCUAGUGUUUCCAGGAUAGUGUUAGUGUUGGAUCGCUGGUCAGUGCGGACUCGGUGGGCUGAAGGGCCUGUUUCUGUGCUGUACCUCUAAAGUCCAAAGUGAAAUCUUCCUUCAUCUAUCUAAUUAUCGCCAGAGGCUGGUGGAUCACAGGAAACAUAAUGUUUCGUGCAAACGGUUUUCAAAUUUGGGGGGAGUGAGGAGAGUGAAAUAUAUCUUAAUGGAGUCCAGAGGGUGCAGAGAGGUUCCAUUUGUGACCUGACCCACAUAACUCACCAGCUCCCGGAUAAUGAGGUCACCAUGACUGGUUGAAUAUUUUCUGAAAUUCCACAGACUCCUAUGAGGGGACAUCCUGUGGCUAAUGGUGCUGUCCUUUAUUUACGAGCCCGGUUGCAUGCAUCAAGCUGUGUAACCUGGUGCUCACGACUCCUUGCACUGGCACUAAUUGCAGUGAAUCCCGAGAACCCCAAACGAGGGAGUGACAGAAGACAUCCCCCUGGACAGAACAGUAAAGAGGUGACAUUAAAUGCUUUUAAUAAAUCUCCAAGCAGUUCCUGGUUUCCUUUACAGAUUCCAGCAGCACUAUAAACAUUGCCCAUGUGCUUAACAUUAAUUAACUUCUGCAGAUGCAAAUUCCCAAUCAGCUCUGAAACAUCCAACAUCUAAGAAUAUGACUCCUCGUUUCCUUCCUAUCAUUUGUCUGCGCUCCACCUCAAAUGAGGCGAAGUUCCCUUGCACUGGUCCUGCCCCUUUAAGAGAGUGUAUGUUGGCCCACACAACACAAGAGACUGCUCUCAAUCCAGCACGCCACUGAUUGAUUCAACGCCUUGCUUCUGACUGAGUGAGAGUUUGGAUCUUGUUUUCCCCAUUGUGGGCAGGAGUCCAACUCAAUCCCAAACUUGGAAUGACUUCAGGAAAAGAAGCUUCCCACUUACUGCCGUGAGUUUGAUUUCCUCGUCAGGCUGGAAUGAUGGGAAUGAUGACAAGGAAGAACUUUUGAAGACUCAGAUGAUCUGGAAGACAUGAAGUACCUAUUUGGAAGAAAGACAUCCACCUGUCUGAUGGUUUCCAUAGAAUCCUGGAUCACUGGAGGACCUCUCGUGUUUCUACAGCAGGAGUGUGAGCAAAGAAAGUAGAGCUGUUUGGAAUUUGAAUAUGCUCACAAGCCAGAGAUGGCUGGCGGAAGAUGGAGGUUGCACUGAGCACUGUGUUCAGCCACUUGGACACCUAGCUACACUUGUGGAAGGAUACUACAAACUUUAAGAAACCAGGCAAGACUGCACAGAACAAACAAACUGAGGUGGAAGGUGCGAGAGGGCUCGGAGGAUGCAAGCUUUUGUCUCCCUGCUGGAGGACAACUCGUGUAAUCCACCCACGCCUGCCUGACAGAAUGGAGGGGGUAAGAGAAAUCUGUUGCCACUGCCCAGUGUCUCGCUUGUCCUUCCCUUUCAUGGCCGCUGUGACGCGCAAAGCCGCUAAGUUGCAUUGAAGGCGCAGUUUCCAGCUGACUCUUGCGAGCAAUAUUCCUCAUCUGCCACGGGAUGAACAGCCUGCUUGCAACCUUGUGCAAGAUCCAGUGAGUUUCAAAUGAGAGCUCCCGCGGCCAGGAUCGAACUCGGAAUCUCUGGCGCUGUGAGGCAGCAGCUCUACCCGCUGCGCAAACCAUGCCGCCCUUUUGUUCCACUCCGAGCUCACAAAGAACCACACGUACC
Leucoraja erinaceus (little skate) is the source of this 1795-nucleotide long non-coding RNA. RefSeq lists it as uncharacterized. Lineage: Eukaryota; Metazoa; Chordata; Chondrichthyes; Rajiformes; Rajidae. The record is from RefSeq and is a predicted model, not a curated record. The transcript is spliced from 4 exons.